AUUUUAUUUUAGCAAAGGCAAAGCAAACAGCUCAACUAGUUAAAAAUAAUCACAUAAUCAAAUCAUUUUAAAAUACAAAAAAGGGUGUAAAACAAUGUAAAAUAAUCAAAUCUAAACUGUUAAAUACAUUUAUUUUACAGUUUUACAGUCAUAUUUACAGUUAAAUACAAACAUAAAAUAAACCUUUGACUGGCUUUGAUGAGUUUUUAGUGGAGGAGUUAUGUAAUUAACAAUAAAAGGCUGUUUUUCACCUUUAAAUAGUUUAAAUAGACUAAAACGAAUUAGCUUUUAAACUUUCUUACCAGUCCUUCAAGAAAAGAAAACAGCUCUCUGUUCUCCUCGUGUUCUCCUUUCCAUCACUCAGCUAGCUGGCUCCUCUUCCUCCUCCUCUGCCUGCCAUGCUGCUGAGUUUGUCCUGGUGUAUCUUGUAUCUUCAGGGGUGGAAAGCCUCUGUCCCACCACCUCUCCCUCAAAGAAACACCACUGCCCAGUUACUUCAGUGUGUUUCUCACUGUGUCCUGACUCUGGACAUGUGCAGUCCUAAGACAAAGGACAUAAACAUGGCAGUUAACAAAAAAAAGAAUCGAGUGUUAUCGAAAGUGUAUUUCCUGGUUUGUGUGUAGCAGUUCCUGUGUCUGACAGUCAUGUGUUACUCUGAGCCGAGUUCUUAUUGUUCUUCAGUGUUUUACUGUCUGUGCCGCUGGAUGACCGAGUGACAUUAAACUUGUUCUUUUCUUUUAAAACUUUCCCCCCGGCGGCUUCGUGCGAGCUGUUAUUUAUAAUAAUUUGAAUUAAAAAUUAUAACAAAGAGACGCGGUGGAGUUUAGGACCGGGUGUGUCGGAAGGAUACAGAUGGAAAAAAAAAUGUUGCCUCGGAGUGACGUCAUCGCUGUCCGAAAGUGAACUUCUCCCCCUUUUUUUGUUGUUGUUGUCGCACUCUUCUGUCCGAGCUGUAAAACGUCACUAAAAUGUGACACAGUCCGUUACUAGUUUUACGUAAAACCUUGGAUUUGAUCAAAUCAGCGUUAAAAGUCGGUUAUAGACGUUUCAACAGCGUCUUAAAAUGCGUGUUAUACCAGCCUGAGUGUGGGAUCAGGAGUUAAGAACACGGACAUGUCUGCUGUGACUGCGUGGCGCUGCUCCACUUUGCUGUCUGUCGGACUCUUCGUGUUUGUCUCUGCAGACCAGAAAAUCAUCACAGCUGAGUCUGGACAGGACGUCACUCUGACAUGUCGAGCUCCAAACAACAACAUCAGACUCGUUGAGUGGAGCAGAGCUGACCUGGUAGAUGAAUAUGUGCUCUUGUACCGGGAUGGAUACUUUCUUCCAGACAACCAGCAUCCAUAUUUUAAGAACCGGGUGGAUCUGUGGGACAGACGGAUGAAGGAUGGAGACGUGUCUUUGAUUCUGAAGGAUGUGAGGGCUGCUGAUAGUGGAACAUAUGAGUGUCGUGUCAUCAUGAGACGAACACACUGGCAUGAAGACAUCACAAGCAUCAUCUACCUUCAUGUUGUUCCUCCAGGUCAGACAGGAUGGCACAGAAAGGAUGGAUUAUAUGAACUGACAUGUGGACUGGGAGUUGCUCUGUCACUUUGUCUUGUGAUUGCUGUUGUUGGGUUUUGCACAUACAAAUGUCGACUGUCCCGAAACACUACUCCACCUCGUCAGACUCCACAGCAGAACUAUGAGUUGGAUGAUCUGAGAACAGGCUGUAGACGUCAAACAUCCAGAGUUUGAUUAUCAUCAUGUUCAGACUCAGACCAACAGUGUGUGUAUGUGGUGUUGUUCCUGGGAUUUACUGACACAAAGUUAAACUGUUACAAACAUGUAUGAAGUCAUGUGAAAUAAUCUCUGAAUCUGUGAGUGUUUUUGUAUUUUUAGCUUCAGGAUCAGCAGCUGCUUGUAAACUCGCCUUACUCUGUGAGGUUUGAACCACAGAAACUAGGAUUUAUAUGAAACUAAACAUUCAUGUACAUGCAAACUCAGAUAUUUCUUUCCUGAUACUGAGCUACAAGGUUAUCCAAAUAUUUUUUAAUUAUUUAACUUUUCAUGCAGAGACACUAAGAUGUGCAAAUAAUGUAAAGUUCUUAUUCUUGUGCAGCUUCUCUUCAACUUUUUUAAAAUGUUAAUAAAGAUCUACAUGUAAACCUAUUGAAAGUCUUUUUCAGUCUUGUUUGAUGUACAAAGUUGAAAAUUAUUUUUCAAGUAUUUUUUAUCGGAAUGAUAAAUAAAAUUGGAGUUUUUCAAAGUGGCUUUGAG
This is a long non-coding RNA of Oreochromis aureus, 2259 nucleotides long. NCBI's taxonomy places the organism in Eukaryota, Metazoa, Chordata, Actinopteri, Cichliformes, Cichlidae. The record is from Ensembl.